Argentina anserina (silverweed cinquefoil) is the source of this 4625-nucleotide long non-coding RNA. RefSeq lists it as uncharacterized. The record is from RefSeq and is a predicted model, not a curated record. NCBI's taxonomy places the organism in Eukaryota, Viridiplantae, Streptophyta, Magnoliopsida, Rosales, Rosaceae. The transcript has 32 exons.
CAACAAACCCAACUCGUCGGCUCUCUCUCUCUCUCCUCCCUUCUCUCUCUUCCUCCAAUUCGGGGGUUCUCAAGAGGGUUUCUGAGUGAAAGAAGACGACGACAUAUUCAAUGGAGCCAAGGAUACGGUAAUGACUUAUCCCUUUCUGCUUUCAUCCCAAUCACAUAUUUGCCUUCAUUUGAUUUUGUUCUUUGGGAGCAUUAGUGAAUUGAUUAUCUAGUUGCAGGGCUACUAUUGCACACAAUUUGAUUUAUGUACUUCAAUAUUGGAUUAAUGGAUAGCUUAGGUCUAUAGGUGGGUGGGGGUAGUGGGAAGGUUGUGGACAGUGGCCCGAAUGAUCAUAUCUUCAUAUACUAUUCUGAUCAUGGUGGUCCUGGAGUACUUGGUGAGUUGCUCUUGAGUAGUCACUUGCGCGAAUCGAUUUGUCUGCUUUAGUUGUUGCGUAAGAGUCAAAUUGGUUGAUUGGCUAUUGCUAUUCGAGUUGAGCAAAUGGUGAUAUAUAUGUUCUGAAUAGUGGUUUCAAUGAUGUUAGUAAUCUAUGGAAUUUGAGAAAUAGGUCUUGAAAACUAGAUUGAAAAUUCUUUGUUGUUCUUGAGUCCUUCUGUGUUAUUUCAUUAAUAUAUUUAGUUUGUAUGUUACAGUAUUGGAAAGUUGUUGCCUUAUUCUUCGUAACUAAACUAUUAACCUGUCCUGUCUGGGUUGAGUGUCGACUCGUCAAUGAUCGAAAGUCACGGCAGGUCGUGCCAACACCUGUGGAUAUCGUACACACUUAUUCGGUGCCAGUAGCUCUGGCCCUACUUCAGUUUUUUUUUUGAUUCAAUCUAUAUACAUGUUUUUCUCUAUUACUGAUAUAGCUUCUUUUUUUUGUUGGUUAUGUGUAAAUCAAUCAAUCCCCCCCCUCCAAUUUUGAUUGCAUUCAUUUUGGACCGUUUCGAUUGGAAUAUUUGGGUAAGAUUUCAACUGUGUACCUUGCUCUGUGUACCUUUGGGUGGAGAUUCGGGCAUCUCUGCAUUUCCUGAAGAAGAUGACAUAUUCAAUGGAACCAACCAAGGGCACGUUGCAGGGCUACAAUUGCAGACAAGUAUAGAGAAUGCUAUUGAUUCAAUAUAUAUGCACGUUUCUCUCUAUUACUGAUAUAGAUUUUUCGUUGGUUAUGUGUCAUCCACCCCAAAUUUCAAUUGCAUUUUCUUUGGACCAUUUCGAUGAUUGAGCAAGGGACUGAUAUUUGUUAUCUAUUGGCAUCUAAUGAUGUCAGUAAAGUUUGGUUGCAUUAUUCUUUAUGGGUCGACAUGGGCUUAAGCACCAAAGUCCUCUUAUAAUUACCGAGAGGUCAACGGCAUUCUUAACGAAAAAUGAGAGAGGGUGGCGGAGAGUGGUGUUCUUUAGGGUUUAUGGUCUUUGUAAUUAUUUUGGGUUACUUGAUACUGACAAAGGGAGAGGAGGUUACAUGAUCGAGCUAAGAAUAUCUCUCCUGGGUUUUUCACUGAUUAAGUUCCGGGCUUUGAAAAUUUAGGGGUGGCUAAUUUCAUUUGUCAAUGUUGAACGGCUGUGUAGUGAUACAACCUGGAAUAAGGCAUGCAACUUCAUGGUCUUUGUGUCUUGUGGAUGAAUUUGGCAAAGGCACUCUAACAGAAGGUUCUAGUGUGCACCCAUUUGACCAAGUUAUUCAGCGAGAGUUGUUUACCUAAAUCCAAGAAGGUCUCAUUUUACACUAUGAGUAUACUGAGGCCUGACAAUUCCACAUAUAUUGAGUAUAUUGUUUUUCUGUACAGGAAAAAAGAAAGCAUUUUGGAGGUCCUUCAUCUCCCCCCCCCCCACGCACGACAUAUUCAGUCUAACACACGCACGACAUAUCUGCAACGAUAUCCCUCUCUCCACUACAAUCUUGAGGAAAUGUUGGGGGUGGCAGCUUCAGUCUAACAUCAAUGUUUUAAUAUAUUACUGGUACAUAGGUGUCCCUAAGGAAGUUAUCAAGAGAGCAUCAUUUGUACUGGGAGCUAUUGGAAAUAAUAAGCAUGUCGAGCGAUUGUGCAAUGAGAAUAUAUCAAUUCAGGAUCAGCAAUACCAGAAAAUAGUGGACAAGAUGUUGGCAUUUAAUGUUCACCAGGGUGAUCUUGGCCUGUUCUUUCGGGACUUAUUUCCUCCAUCCUAAAAAAGUGCCAGAAGUGACUUCGCCGUUUUGUGGUCGUGAUGAACUCAGAAACUCAGAGAGGUUGCAGUCCGACCCGGAUAGCAAUGUGUGAGGCAUUAUCUCCGUCAUUGGUGGAUGAUAAAGUUUACCUUACUGAUCUAUCCAAUAGAAAUGUUGAUUAAUGCUCAGAUGCAGAGGUGUACAUGGCAUGUAUACGGCACGGCCAUCGAGUGUUUGCUCAAUCUUGCAUGUGAACAAGAUAUUUGAAGUAGGGGUUUCUGAGAGUCUUCAAGAGCAUGAAAAGUACCUGAAUUUGGACAUUGUUGAGAAGUUAGAUGAGCUAAGGCAAAUAUAUGAGGAAUUGCCUGAAUUUUCUGGAGGAUGUGAUCAACUGUUACAUAACCAUCUUAUCAGAAAGAUGAUUAAAAGAGAGACUUUUUCAGUAUUACAAGGGCAAGCCUGUUUCUUGUAUUGUUUUUCUUGCCCAUAUAGGAAGUUUUGUUCUGGCAUAUGCUGCAACUGUGGGUUUGACUGAUAGAAUAUUCUGCACAAUGGGAAGGAAGCUCAUGAUGCUAGAGCAAUCAACAUUCGUGAUUGACCUACAUCAAGUAGGGAUGAUGGUAAGACAAUCUCAAGAGUGGAAGGAUAAGCUGGUUGGGAAGGAUGAUGUAUCUAUGACUUGGCUUUAGAGUAAACGUCAAUAGAAGGUUCAGAUUAGUGUUUUGAUAAGGACCUGAAAACUUUCAUUAUCAGUUAUUGGCUUAUGAUAAUUGAAACAUGGAGGGUUCUUUCUUGAGUUGACCUCAUAUAUGCAGCAAGACCUAUGAGUACGGCAUGUCCACUGAAAACUAAGAAACAUGCAGGGUUCUUUCUUGAGUUGACCUCAUAUAUGCAGCAAGACCUAUGCUGCUCAGAUGCCCUCAUGAGGAUAAGGAGAAUUGUUGACUGAGCCAUUUCUAUAUCUGAAAAUACUUCACAAAUCCGAGAAAAAUAUAGUGAAAUUGCUCUUCGGUUUCUGUCCUUGAGCUAUGCCACGUCAACCCUGUCAGUGGAGAUCAUCCGCAAGAAUGCAACUUUUUGAACAUGUUAUUUCUUGGAGAAAUGCAGUGCUAAUUGAAGCAGGUUUCGCUUCUGCAUAUCUUUCUGAUAACAGAGUGAAUAUGGCAGGAUUUUAAGGUGAAAGCAGGUUUCGCUUCUGCAUAUCUUUUUGAUAACAGAGUGAAUAUGACAGGAUUUUAAGGUAAAAGCCAAGCGGCAAACUUCAGUCGGAAAGAAAUUAAUGGCCAAUCAUGUCUGUGUUACAGUGAGCUCUUUCAAUAUGUAAUUGAAACAGAAUCAGAAUGGCAAAGCUUGGACUAUGUAAUUGUUUGCUGUGGCAUGUUUGUCCCUUGCAGCUUUGGCCCUCUGUGCCAAUAUCUAUCAAGAAGAUACUUAGAUCGCUUCCAUUAGGCUUCUAAAAUACCUGCAUACACCGUGGAAUUAGAAGCCACCGAUAAACUUGAAGACUCAUGAAACUUUGAAGCAAAGGCUGAAAAGAUCCAAAAAGAUCAAGAAAGAAAGGAAGAAGGUGAGGGAGGUGGGGAUCUUGAUCUUGAAGAUGGACUCUGAGACCCUGAAAGAGCAGAUUGGUAGAUUGAAUAAUUAGAGCAUACACUGUGGAAUUAGAAGCCAGGUGAAUACACUAUGGAAUUAGAAGCCAGGUGAAUAAACUUGAAGACGGGAAUGAAACUUUGAAGGAAAGCCUGAAAAGAUCCAAAAAGUUUCUCUGCACCCGGACUUGAAGGUGAAGAGAACUUUGAUGGAUCGAGAUGGUUAUUUCACCAACUAACUGAAAAAAACUGUUCACUGGAUGUAGAAGGCCAGCUCUAGGUCUGCUUCUGUUUGGUCUACCUAGUAAUAGAAAAACCAUGCUUGCUAAGUUGCCACGCCACAUUGAAUUACAUGUUGCAGGAAGUACUCAGAUCAAUGAGCCUGACAGCUUAUAUGGAUUAUACAGUCACACAAGUUAACUUCUCAAAUCAUUACCUGAGGAAAACUGGAGCAAGGCCCUUGAAUAGUAUGAUUUGCAAAUACGUUCAGCUGCUUUAGUACUAGUGGAUUUUGGUUCCAGGAAGUUACUGGAACAGACUCAACUUGAUAACUUUCCCAAUUCCACCCUGGAAGAUCUGAUGAAUUAGAGACCAUAUAAAGGUCCAACUAGAUCAUUGCAGCAAACUGUUGUCUGCACGUCUUGGACAUUUAUUGCCAAGGAUUGACAAUUUCAUCAGGAUUUGGAGUUUAUCGAUUUGCAGCUUUUUAUCUGUACAUGUUCCUUUGUGUGUUUUGUGUGUUGGUAGUUUUCAGGUAUUUAUAAGAUGAUCCUAUGAUUAGAAUAACAAUUUGUAAUAUUAAAACAGAGAUACAUUAUUGUUGUAGCAGAGACAUAUAUCAGCUCUGCUCGAUGGAACACCACAGUUGUAAAAGCCGAUGCUUAUACGCACAUUGGAAAUUUAAG